CUGAUGCACAGGGAGGUUAUAUGGCUGGUUCAAGGUCAUACACCCUGUUCAAAAGCACCAAGUGCACAAGUGUCUGGUGGGGAAGACUUUGUCUGCAUGCAGUUUAACAGUAAUGAGAUCAUCAGAGGUGACAGGAGAGAGAGGAAAGGAAGAUUUGAGAGGCAGAGAGACCAGGAAAGAAGGUUGUGUGAAGAUAGGCAGAAAUUGGGAGUUGUGUUGCCACGUCCAAGGAAUACCAGGAGCCGCCGGAGGCUGGAAGAAGCAAGGAAGGAUUCUUUCCUGGAGGAAUCCAUUCCUUUGGAGGGAGUGUGGCCUGGCAGACCCCCUUAUUUUGGACUUCUGGCUUUUGCAACACUGAGAGAAUAAAUUUC
Molecule: long non-coding RNA, 371 nt
Organism: Herpailurus yagouaroundi (jaguarundi)
Lineage: Eukaryota; Metazoa; Chordata; Mammalia; Carnivora; Felidae
Exons: 3
Source: RefSeq, a predicted model, not a curated record